GUGACGUCACAGAGGGAGAAGUGCACUUGUGUACAGAAACAUGGCUUAGAAGAUUGGCUUUGGAGGUGGCUGCAAUGGAGUAUAUGUUUUGAAGAAGUCCCCUAUGAAAUGUCUUAUAAAUUGUUUCUUAUCUCCAGGUGAUUGGGCUCACACCUGUAAUUUCAGCACUUUGAGAAACUGAGAAGGAAGGAUCAGGAAUCGUCAUAUGGCUUCCCACAGCAGGUGGGCCAUUUACAUCACCACGACAAUAUCCACAGGAGUUCCAGUUCCCUAAAUUCUCACCAAGACUGGUCAUUCUCUGUUGGAAAAAAACAUCGUAAUAGGUGUGAGGGAAAGCUGCACCUGUGCACAUGACAAGACCAUGAGCUACACUUUGCUUCACUUUUCUUGAAGUCAAUAAGUUUCUUGAUCCAGAGCCAUAUUAUGGAAGAAUUCCUGACUCUAAUAAAAGCACUUGGAAAAUCUUUAAAUAAUAUUUUAUGCAGAAACAUAACCAAAAAGAAAGGAAAAUUCAUAUAUAGGAAAAUAAUCACCACCCUCCUCAUGUUACAUGAGGUCCACUAGAAUCACCUGACACCACAUGUUAGUCUGAGCCCUGAUGUGUGGUAUAAUGUUAGGGGUUUAGGAGAGGACAUUCUUCUUGGCAAAUUAGGUGUUCAGAAGAGCCAGCAGCCCUGUACAUCUCAGUUAGUUGAAACUCAUAUUAUUGAGUCUUCACGGGGACCUCCAUAACAUUGGUUCAUGAGUCCACCUGGGAAAGCUGGGAAAGGUGACUGACUAAAGUCCAUGUGUUGAAUCUUCCUCAUUAUGAAAAGCCCCAUGCUUUAUAAUGAUAGUUUGAUUAAUAUUCACUUGGAAAGCUUUUUUUAUUUUUUCUAUUAUGGCUCAUUUUUGAAAUGUGUAGUCAUAGCUCUUCCAGAAUGACUUUGUCUGCAAUCAUCCUGUUGCAUUUCUUUUAAGGCCUGAUGAUCUGUCAAAACCAACAACCAAUAUUAUUAAAUGGCUGUUCUCUUGGCAAUGUGAUCAUCAGAUGUAGGCCUUGCAGUUUACACAUGAUUAGGAUUUUUACAUUUCCAGGGCUUCCUUGACAAUGGCACUGAUGUGACUCCAUCCAGCAUCUAUUGUUAUGAGAACUCUAUUUGGCAUAUUAUCACUGUGGGCAUGAACAUAAUGGAGACUUUCAUAGGAUGCUAUGGUUAAUAUCCAACAUUAGUCAAAAUUUACCCUAGUCCUACCCUUGGAACUCUACUGGGUUGGAAAAUUAUUUUAGGUAAGGACAACCAUUUGGUAACAUUUU
Pongo pygmaeus (Bornean orangutan) is the source of this 1297-nucleotide long non-coding RNA. RefSeq lists it as uncharacterized. NCBI's taxonomy places the organism in Eukaryota, Metazoa, Chordata, Mammalia, Primates, Hominidae. The record is from RefSeq and is a predicted model, not a curated record. The transcript has 3 exons.